This 619-nucleotide ribosomal RNA is filed under the name uncultured bacterium. Its description in RNAcentral is "bacterial SSU rRNA". It matches the Rfam family "Bacterial small subunit ribosomal RNA", at positions 84 to 724 of the family's 1533-position model. The record is from RNAcentral.
UUUCUUGAUUAGUGGCGCACGGGUGAGUAAUGCAUAGAUAAUGUGCCCCUUAGUUCGGGAUAGCCACUGGAAACGGUGAUUAAUACCGGAUACUCCUUCUUGUUAUAAGACAAGUCGGGAAAGUUUUUCGCUAAGGGAUCAGUCUAUGUUCCAUCAGCUUGUUGGUGAGGUAAUGGCUCACCAAGGCUAUGACGGAUAUCUGGUUUGAGAGGAUGAUCAGACACACUGGAACUGAGACACGGUCCAGACUCCUACGGGAGGCAGCAGUGAGGAAUAUUGCACAAUGGAGGAAACUCUGAUGCAGCAACGCCGCGUGGAGGAUGACGCAUUUCGGUGUGUAAACUCCUUUUAUUAGGGAAGAUAAUGACGGUACCUAAUGAAUAAGCACCGGCUAACUCCGUGCCAGCAGCCGCGGUAAUACGGAGGGUGCAAGCGUUACUCGGAAUCACUGGGCGUAAAGGGUGCGUAGGCUGGCUUUUAAGUCAGAUGUGAAAUCCAAUGGCUCAACCAUUGAACUGCAUUUGAAACUGAAAGCCUAGAGUUCAGAAGGGGCAGAUGGAAUUAGUGGUGUAGGGGUAAAAUCCGUAGAUAUCACUAGGAAUAUCAAAAGCGAAGGCGA